CUUUUUCAGAAAUCUUGACAUCAUCCCUUUCUUGCAUGCCACAUCUUGACGGAAGAAAAUUCAAUUAAAGGACGAUUGCGUCGCCUCUUCACGAGCUCCGGGUGUAAUUAUUUCGUUUGAAGGACCGUUCUCUAGAAGAUCAUGUGAAGGAAAUUAUUACAUGUCCAUCAUUUUCUGAUUGCUCAUAUUGUGAUUUUUUGAAUGCAGGAAAUCUAACCAGGCUCUUUGCAGCCAUAGAAGACUCUUCUGUUGUGGACAAUAUUAAUAUUGCUCUUCAGAGGCCAGUUAAAUGUUUUGACAACUUGGUGAAGAAAUUUGAUUUCAACCUCAUUAUCAGUAACCCUAAGGGCUCUUCCAAUGUAAAACUAGGUGUCACACUAGAAAUCUGCACUGUAUCUCAGAAAGCAAGAACCAAAAGACAGCAGAAACACUAGUUAGAGCAUGCUCAAUAAAACUAAAUUGUAUGGGCAAAUCUACAUGAGAUACUCCACAUACCACAGUUACAUGUACAUGUAAACCCAAGUGUAGUAUUAAUGUUAUGGUUGUCAGUACAGCCAGAAAAGAGAGUUAACUCAUAUUAAUUUAUAACUUAUAAAGUUAUCAGUUUUGACAAAGUCAAUUAUCAAAAGUUCAUAAAUAAACAAACAUAUUCCCUAUUCUUUACAGCGUUAAA
This is a non-coding RNA of Pocillopora verrucosa, 673 nucleotides long. The record is from RefSeq and is a predicted model, not a curated record. Lineage: Eukaryota; Metazoa; Cnidaria; Anthozoa; Scleractinia; Pocilloporidae.